UUAAGCGACUAAGCGUACACGGUGGAUGCCCUGGCAGUCAGAGGCGAUGAAGGACGUGCUAAUCUGCGAUAAGCGUCGGUAAGGUGAUAUGAACCGUUAUAACCGGCGAUUUCCGAAUGGGGAAACCCAGUGUGUUUCGACACACUAUCAUUAACUGAAUCCAUAGGUUAAUGAGGCGAACCGGGGGAACUGAAACAUCUAAGUACCCCGAGGAAAAGAAAUCAACCGAGAUUCCCCCAGUAGCGGCGAGCGAACGGGGAGCAGCCCAGAGCCUGAAUCAGUGUGUGUGUUAGUGGAAGCGUCUGGAAAGGCGCGCGAUACAGGGUGACAGCCCCGUACACAAAAAUGCACAUGCUGUGAGCUCGAUGAGUAGGGCGGGACACGUGGUAUCCUGUCUGAAUAUGGGGGGACCAUCCUCCAAGGCUAAAUACUCCUGACUGACCGAUAGUGAACCAGUACCGUGAGGGAAAGGCGAAAAGAACCCCGGCGAGGGGAGUGAAAAAGAACCUGAAACCGUGUACGUACAAGCAGUGGGAGCACGCUUAGGCGUGUGACUGCGUACCUUUUGUAUAAUGGGUCAGCGACUUAUAUUCUGUAGCAAGGUUAACCGAAUAGGGGAGCCGAAGGGAAACCGAGUCUUAACUGGGCGUUAAGUUGCAGGGUAUAGACCCGAAACCCGGUGAUCUAGCCAUGGGCAGGUUGAAGGUUGGGUAACACUAACUGGAGGACCGAACCGACUAAUGUUGAAAAAUUAGCGGAUGACUUGUGGCUGGGGGUGAAAGGCCAAUCAAACCGGGAGAUAGCUGGUUCUCCCCGAAAGCUAUUUAGGUAGCGCCUCGUGAAUUCAUCUCCGGGGGUAGAGCACUGUUUCGGCAAGGGGGUCAUCCCGACUUACCAACCCGAUGCAAACUGCGAAUACCGGAGAAUGUUAUCACGGGAGACACACGGCGGGUGCUAACGUCCGUCGUGAAGAGGGAAACAACCCAGACCGCCAGCUAAGGUCCCAAAGUCAUGGUUAAGUGGGAAACGAUGUGGGAAGGCCCAGACAGCCAGGAUGUUGGCUUAGAAGCAGCCAUCAUUUAAAGAAAGCGUAAUAGCUCACUGGUCGAGUCGGCCUGCGCGGAAGAUGUAACGGGGCUAAACCAUGCACCGAAGCUGCGGCAGCGACGCUUAUGCGUUGUUGGGUAGGGGAGCGUUCUGUAAGCCUGCGAAGGUGUGCUGUGAGGCAUGCUGGAGGUAUCAGAAGUGCGAAUGCUGACAUAAGUAACGAUAAAGCGGGUGAAAAGCCCGCUCGCCGGAAGACCAAGGGUUCCUGUCCAACGUUAAUCGGGGCAGGGUGAGUCGACCCCUAAGGCGAGGCCGAAAGGCGUAGUCGAUGGGAAACAGGUUAAUAUUCCUGUACUUGGUGUUACUGCGAAGGGGGGACGGAGAAGGCUAUGUUGGCCGGGCGACGGUUGUCCCGGUUUAAGCGUGUAGGCUGGUUUUCCAGGCAAAUCCGGAAAAUCAAGGCUGAGGCGUGAUGACGAGGCACUACGGUGCUGAAGCAACAAAUGCCCUGCUUCCAGGAAAAGCCUCUAAGCAUCAGGUAACAUCAAAUCGUACCCCAAACCGACACAGGUGGUCAGGUAGAGAAUACCAAGGCGCUUGAGAGAACUCGGGUGAAGGAACUAGGCAAAAUGGUGCCGUAACUUCGGGAGAAGGCACGCUGAUAUGUAGGUGAAGUCCCUCGCGGAUGGAGCUGAAAUCAGUCGAAGAUACCAGCUGGCUGCAACUGUUUAUUAAAAACACAGCACUGUGCAAACACGAAAGUGGACGUAUACGGUGUGACGCCUGCCCGGUGCCGGAAGGUUAAUUGAUGGGGUUAGCGGUAACGCGAAGCUCUUGAUCGAAGCCCCGGUAAACGGCGGCCGUAACUAUAACGGUCCUAAGGUAGCGAAAUUCCUUGUCGGGUAAGUUCCGACCUGCACGAAUGGCGUAAUGAUGGCCAGGCUGUCUCCACCCGAGACUCAGUGAAAUUGAACUCGCUGUGAAGAUGCAGUGUACCCGCGGCAAGACGGAAAGACCCCGUGAACCUUUACUAUAGCUUGACACUGAACAUUGAGCCUUGAUGUGUAGGAUAGGUGGGAGGCUUUGAAGUGUGGACGCCAGUCUGCAUGGAGCCGACCUUGAAAUACCACCCUUUAAUGUUUGAUGUUCUAACGUUGACCCGUAAUCCGGGUUGCGGACAGUGUCUGGUGGGUAGUUUGACUGGGGCGGUCUCCUCCUAAAGAGUAACGGAGGAGCACGAAGGUUGGCUAAUCCUGGUCGGACAUCAGGAGGUUAGUGCAAUGGCAUAAGCCAGCUUGACUGCGAGCGUGACGGCGCGAGCAGGUGCGAAAGCAGGUCAUAGUGAUCCGGUGGUUCUGAAUGGAAGGGCCAUCGCUCAACGGAUAAAAGGUACUCCGGGGAUAACAGGCUGAUACCGCCCAAGAGUUCAUAUCGACGGCGGUGUUUGGCACCUCGAUGUCGGCUCAUCACAUCCUGGGGCUGAAGUAGGUCCCAAGGGUAUGGCUGUUCGCCAUUUAAAGUGGUACGCGAGCUGGGUUUAGAACGUCGUGAGACAGUUCGGUCCCUAUCUGCCGUGGGCGCUGGAGAACUGAGGGGGGCUGCUCCUAGUACGAGAGGACCGGAGUGGACGCAUCACUGGUGUUCGGGUUGUCAUGCCAAUGGCACUGCCCGGUAGCUAAAUGCGGAAGAGAUAAGUGCUGAAAGCAUCUAAGCACGAAACUUGCCCCGAGAUGAGUUCUCCCUGACUCCUUGAGAGUCCUGAAGGAACGUUGAAGACGACGACGUUGAUAGGCCGGGUGUGUAAGCGCAGCGAUGCGUUGAGCUAACCGGUACUAAUGAACCGUGAGGCUUAACCU
Molecule: ribosomal RNA, 2903 nt
Filed under: Escherichia coli
Lineage: Bacteria; Pseudomonadati; Pseudomonadota; Gammaproteobacteria; Enterobacterales; Enterobacteriaceae
Description: 23S ribosomal RNA
Rfam family: Bacterial large subunit ribosomal RNA
Source: RNAcentral